CCGAUGAAUGUGUGAUCAUUAUUUGACCAGUGUGAACUGUCCAACAAAUCUUUAGGGGUCGGCACAGGUAGAAGUGGUCGUUAAAUGGUGGAUAUUCCUUCCAGCAGCCCCGCCAUUGUGUGUUACUAUGCAUAUUAAACGUAAAAGACUGAGAGAACGUAUCCUCAUGAUCACCAUGAAAGGAAAAACUGUUAAAGAAAGAGACAAACAACUUUUGACGGUGGAUCUCUUGGCUCACGUAUCGAUAAAGAACGCAGCCAGCUGCGAUAUGUAGUGUGAAUUGCAGAAUUCAGUGAAUCAUUGAAUCUUUGAACGCAAAUGGCGCUCUUGGGUUCUCCCAGGAGCAUGUCUGUCUGAGUGUCGGAUUUUAUCGAACGCACACUCACUCGUGAGUGUGCGGUAUUGAGGUGUCACGGCGUGAAGAAUCAGUGUAUUAAUGAUCGCCGUGUCCCUUGAAGAGCAGCAGCAGCAGCAGCAUUCUCUAUUGAAACUUGAGUGCGAAGGCUAAAGAUAUUGCUAUUUUCCUUCGCUGCAGGUUGGUUUAGGGUUGUUGGGUUGCUGAAAAAGAGAAAGAAAGAAAGAAAUCCAAUCAAUCUUGACCUCAGAUCAGGCAAGGCUACCCGCUGAAUUUAA
Molecule: ribosomal RNA, 633 nt
Filed under: Porites furcata
Lineage: Eukaryota; Metazoa; Cnidaria; Anthozoa; Scleractinia; Poritidae
Description: partial 18S ribosomal RNA
Rfam family: 5.8S ribosomal RNA (bases 210-363)
Source: RNAcentral